CCACGUACAGUACAGCUGGUGCGGCAAAGAACUAAAAAUAGGCCUGGAACUGCCCGUGGAUCAACUAAGAAUGGAAACUGUUAUACCAACAACAGUUACAGGUGGGAUUACUGAAAGCCAGAGUUUUAAUUGGACCGUGUUUGGCAUAGUGGUUGGUGCAUUGACUUCGAUCGGUCUAUUAGUGCUUGGAGUCCUUUAUUUCCUUUUCGGUCAGGCUGUCUGUACAAAGACUUGUCGGCAGAAAUGCUGUCCAGGUGAGUAAAUAAGGAAUAAAUAUGGAUAUUUAAAUUGAAUUAUGUCAUUGUAUUAAAAUAAAUUUAAUGAAUUUAUUGGAAGCAACAUGCAGAAAGACUU
Long non-coding RNA from Strongylocentrotus purpuratus (purple sea urchin), 354 nucleotides. RefSeq lists it as uncharacterized. NCBI's taxonomy places the organism in Eukaryota, Metazoa, Echinodermata, Echinoidea, Camarodonta, Strongylocentrotidae. The record is from RefSeq and is a predicted model, not a curated record. The transcript has 3 exons.